UGGUCUUGACAUCCUAGGAACCUUUCAGAGAUGAGAGGGUGCCCGCAAGGGAGCCUAGAGACAGGUGCUGCAUGGCUGUCGUCAGCUCGUGUCGUGAGAUGUUGGGUUAAGUCCCGCAACGAGCGCAACCCUCGCCUUUAGUUGCCACGCAAGUGGAUCUCUAGAGGGACUGCCGGUGUUAAACCGGAGGAAGGUGGGGAUGACGUCAAGUCCUCAUGGCCUUUAUGACCAGGG
RNAcentral lists this ribosomal RNA (234 nucleotides) under uncultured bacterium. RNAcentral's name for it is "partial 16S ribosomal RNA". It matches the Rfam family "Bacterial small subunit ribosomal RNA", at positions 976 to 1213 of the family's 1533-position model. The record is from RNAcentral.